This 73-nucleotide transfer RNA is filed under the name Kaupichthys hyoproroides (false moray). RNAcentral describes it as "tRNA-Asn". Lineage: Eukaryota; Metazoa; Chordata; Actinopteri; Anguilliformes; Chlopsidae. The record is from RNAcentral.
GAGAUGGAUGCUCGCUGGUUUGGGCGCUUAGCUGUUAACUAGGAUUUUGAGGGAUCGAGGCCCUUCCAUCUAU